GAGGGUGCGAGCGUUGUUCGGAAUUACUGGGCGUAAAGCGCGCGCAGGCGGCCUUUUAAGUCUACCCGUGAAAUGCCGGAGCUCAACUCCGUGCACGCCGGGGGAUACUGGGAGGCUGGAGACAUGUAGAGGCAAGCGGAAUUCCGGGUGUAGCGGUGGAAUGCGUAGAUAUCCGGAAGAACACCUGAGGCGAAGGCGGCUUGCUGGGCAUGAUCUGACGCUGAGGCGCGAAAGCGUGGGGAGCAAACAGGAUUAGAUACCCUGGUAGUCCACGCCGUAAACGAUGGGCACUAGACGCGGGUGGGAUCGACCCCUUCCGUGUCGCAGCUAACGCGAUAAGUGCCCCGCCUGGGGAGUACGGCCGCAAGGCUG
This 372-nucleotide ribosomal RNA is filed under the name uncultured organism. Its description in RNAcentral is "bacterial SSU rRNA". It matches the Rfam family "Bacterial small subunit ribosomal RNA", at positions 528 to 896 of the family's 1533-position model. The record is from RNAcentral.